RNAcentral lists this long non-coding RNA (26985 nucleotides) under Carica papaya (papaya). RNAcentral's name for it is "long non-coding RNA (CPAP_LNC009404)". The record is from RNAcentral. Lineage: Eukaryota; Viridiplantae; Streptophyta; Magnoliopsida; Brassicales; Caricaceae.
CACAGUUCAUUAAGUACUACAUUUUUUUUAUAAAACACAAUGUACAUCGCAAAUAAAUUGGUAAGAAUAUCUUCUAGAUUUUCCCUUGGGACAAUACCUAAUCCCUACAUCUUCUAUAAAACGUCCAGUUUUUUUACUCUUAGUUUUUUUUAUUAUUCUAAACUUUAGUUUCCUGAUACAUCUGAGCAUCUAUGUGAUAUCCCAAGUGCUAAUUAAGGUAAAUGGAUGUCAGACACAGAUUUAAAAUAACGAGUGUAUGAUAGAAUUUAUGCAACAGAACAAAAUCAUUAUAAAUCCCUUACAAAUACAUAUGAGUUCUAAUACAUACAUACACUGAGGCCAAAAGUGGUUGCAAAAUAAAAAAACAAAACAUAAGGGUCAUUUUCUUCACUAUGAUAUUGGACUCAUCGGAGUGCAGGAACAGUCAUGCACUCAGACUUGUGGAUCCAUGGGAUCCUCAUAGACUUCCAAGGGUAGGUCAGCUUCCGGUUCUUCACUUUUUUUCUCAUCUAGAGGCGGGGGCAUAGAAAGAGUGAAUUUCAUAUACUCAGUAAUGAAAACAGUAUUAAAUUAAUACCGUAAGAUUUCAAGAGUUAAUUAUUUUAUCUUACCAUUUAACAUCCUUGUUUACCUAUCUCAUAUUAUGGAAAAUUAUUUAUUUGUUAAGAAAACGAUACAUUAAUACAGAAAAUCAAACAUACAUCAUGCCAGAUAAUAGAGAAAAUUAAAUAAAUCGUGAAAUGUUCAAAUUUUCAUGUCAUGCUUCGUGAAGUCAUUACAACUUCAAUCUUUGAGGGCAGAUACAGAUUUCUAACUACCCGAGUAGAAUGACCAUAUUAGAUAUAGAUACAGCAUAACAGAUAUCUACAAUCACGAUAUUACUUAGUCUUGGGUGACCCUUACAGAUAAUGCGACACCACUCUCAUCAGAGGGUAUGUCGUUAUCCACUAGGAGCGUUCCUCUUACGUCUUUUUAGACAAGAUAGGGGAGGGGGAAACAGAUACCCCUCAGAGAUAAAAAUUCUAACGAGACAAUUGGUGCAAUAUGAUGUCAAUACAAAUACACUUUGAACCAAACAAGCUUCAUUCCACUUUUCUUUUUUUUUUCUUUUGUACUUUUUACUUUUACCUAUUACAUAUUAUAUUUAUUACAUGCAAAUUCAUUAAGUGUCUGCAAUUCACAUAACAUGCUUAAAACUCAGAAAAAUUCGACUCAUUUGAACACAGAGGCAUACAAAAUAGGCAAAAUAACAAUCAUAUUAAAUUAGUUUAUCUAAAAAUAUUCCUUAAGAUGUCAAAAGAAAUACUAGAUUUCUUAUCGAAACAUUGAUGUUUUCUCCUUCACCAUUCUCCUUUCUUUCUUUUCUUCCCUCAUUAGACUACUAUCUCUCUUUCUCUAAACCUUUGAAAAAUUGAAGAAUGAAAGUGUGGAGAGGAAGAAGGGGGAGGAAUAUUUAUAGAGUUUUAGAACCGUUGGAUUCGUGCUAAGUAGCGAAAUCCAGUGAAGAGAGAGGAAAAAAAGAUGCUCGACACAAAAAAUAAAGGAGGAGGGCUCCUCCACCGUCGGUGGUGGUGCGUCGCCCAAGGCAGCAGUGGUGCACUGCUGGCUAGCCUACAGGCGCACAAAAAUCCUGUCAUGCGCAUAGGGGCUAGCCUGCGUGCGCGUAGGGCCCAAGCGCAUUGGGCACUGUGCACGCAAGCCCCAGGCGCAUAGGUCCUAUCUUUGCAGGCCUGUUAUGCGGACGGCAUGCGCACAGUGUGCGGCGCCUGUCCACGCGCGAGGUGACGCAUGGACAGCCCGCCUGCGCGCGACAGGACGCGCGCAAGUUUUGACCCCUCACCAUGUGCGCGGAGUGGACGUGUGCACUGUGCGCACGUCUUGUCUACGUGCACGCACGCACAUCUCGUGACCACUGUGCGCGCAUAUGCGCGCAAACAGUGCUCAACACUCGCACUGGUAACCAGACUCAUCGCGAGAUUUUUUCCAUGGGAUUUUCUUCCCAAUUCGUCGUUUUUUUUAAUUUUUUUCUCAAUUUUCAUAUUUAAUUUAAAUCAGUUAGAAUAAAAUUAUUUAAAAUAAAUUAAAUUAAAUUAAAUAAAUAAAAAUCAACCAAAAUUACGAAUUAUGAUAAAUAUUAAGCAAUGUAAAUUAAUUAAGUUUAACGCAGCCAAAGGCCCGAAUAAAAGGGUUUCCAAAUCAUUUUAGCACAGUGAUGGGUGGGAUAUUACAAUCUAAAUGCAUCUUAGAGUUUAGCAUAAUUGAUAACACACUACCUCUUUCUUCGUGUGUUACACUCUUACUUCUAGUAUUGGUGCGGUAUUUGUUCUAUAGGACUCCUUGCAGUAUUUUAAAAUAAUAUUUGAGAACACUUUUAUUCAAGAGAAUAUAUUUGACACUCAACUUGAGGGUGGGAGAUAAAAAGGUAAAAAGCAAUAAUGUGUGAGAAUAUCAAACGGUAAAAGCCAAGUGAGUAAAACACGAGAGACCAGUGAAGAAUCUUUAUUUGUUAUUACUAACCUCUUUUACAGGGAACUCUUUUCUAAAGAUGUAAAGCAAGCACCAAAGCCCCAUCGACAUAAUACUCUUUAUGGAGGCUAUGCAAGCAAAACUGAGACAACUCAAUAAAAAGAUGGAUAAUCUAAUUGGUGGCCAAAGUGAGGAAAGGCACGGGACUGCAAACACCAAACAGCCUAGGACUCAACACCAUGAUGAUGAGGUCGGGUCCUGUAAUGAUGAGGAGGAAGAUAGGGCGGAGAAGAGAGAAGAAAAAAGGAAUAGUAAUAUCAACUCCAUCAAGAUGAUAAUACGACCUUUCAAUGGUAGAAAUGAUGCUAAAGCAUAUUUGGAGUGGGAGAAGAAUGUAAAACUAGCCUUUGACUGCCACAACUACCACGAGGAAAAGAAGAUCAAACUAGCAGCGGUAGAGAUCACUGACUAUGCCUUAGUGUGGUGGGAUCAACUACUCCUCAUUAGACGGCAUAAUGGAGAACGACUAAUAUCCUCAUUGAGAGAGAUAAAAGCAAUCAUGUGAAAAAGUUUGUACCCACUUACUACUAAAAAGAGAUACAUCAAAAGUCACAGCGUUUAACGUAGGAGUCUAUGUCCGUUGAGGACUACCACAAGGAGAUAGAGAUGGUUAUGAUCAGGGAAAAUAAAGAAGAAGAUCCUAAAGUAACUAUGGCGAGAUUCCUCGGAGGUCUCAAUAGGGACAUUGUUAACAUGGUGGAAUUACAACACUAUGUGGAGGUGGAGGACAUGGUCCACAUGGCCAUAUAGAUUGAGAGACAACUACAGAGUAAAGGUAAGAGAAUAUUCCAUACUACUUCUACCUUUAACUCAAGAUGGCUGAAGAAUGAGGAAAAGAAGGGAGUUGAGUCAACAAUCUAUGGUUACAUGCUCCCACUUCCACUCAGGAAUUUGGAGGCCUUGUAACAAACGAUCAGCUCUCUAAUGUUUUGCCUUAGUCCUCUUGCUGGUGAGGCAUUGGGAGAUGUAGUCGACUAUGUAUUUCUUUAUUCCCGGUCACCAGUAUUAACGCAUUAAGUCUCAAUACAUCUUGAUACUCCUGGAAUGGAUGGGUAGCUUGGAAGCAUGGGUGGUCUUGAGAACAUCUGCCCUUACAACGACAGGGACCAAAUUCAGUUUCAAAAUCUAAACAAUCCAUCAUCUGAAAUUCUAAAAUUAAGAAAUUUAUUAGAGGAGAACUUACCUAAAUUCUUGGUGAGUUUUUGGUCCGUGGACUAAGCUUCCCAGAUUUUCAUAAAGAGAUCCGACAGGGCUCAGAUUUGAGCAAGAUAGGUGUCUUUGUCAUAGUAGCUAAGGCAGAGAGACUGCAUAGUAUCCAUCAAUUUCCAAGUGGAGGCCAUGGUUUGGGCCAAUACUAUAGACUUCUUUUGACUUAGCACAUCUGCAACAACAUUUCCUCUACUGGGGUGAUAGAUGAUCUUACAAUCAUAGUCCUUCAGAAGAUCCACUCAGCAUCUCUGUCUCAUAGUUAACUCCCUCUAGAGAAGAUGUACUUCAAAAUCUUAUGGUCAGUAUAAAUCUCGAAAGUUUGACCAAACAGGUAGUGACACCAUAUCUUUAGGGCAAAAAUGAUGGUCGUCAACUCUAGGUCAUGGGUAAGGUAGUUUCGCUCAUGAGGUUUCAACUGUCGGAAUCCAUAAGCAACUACUUUACCAUACUGCAUCAAGACACACUCUAAGCUAAUAUGAGAUGCGUCACAAUACACCUGAAAUCUUCUAAUAUUGUUAGGAAGGAUCAAUACAGGAGUAGAUGUGAAACGAUGCUUCAAUUCCAUGAAGCUUUCAUUGCAUUCGUAAUUCUAAACAAAUGGUACACUCUUUCAGGUGAGUCGAGUCAAUAAAGCGACAAUCUAAGCAAAUCUGUCAAUGAAUCAUGGAUAGUAACCUACCAAGCUAACGAAACUACGUACCUCAGCCACAUUAGUGGAUGGAGUCUAGUUGACCACUAUUUCAACCUUGGAUGGAUCUACAAAAACUCCUUCACUCAAAAUUACAUGACCAAGGAAGGAAACUUGAUCCAACCAGAAGGAGUAUUUGCUAAGUUUAGCAUACAAUUGGUUCCGGCGAAGGGUCUCUAACACUUCAGUCAAGUGUACUGGAUGCUCCUCCAGACUCUUAGAGUACACUAAGAUGUCAUCAAUAAAAAAGAUGACGUACUAAUCUAGUGCAUGCUAGAAAAUUAUGUUUAUGAGGUCCGAGAAGGUUGCAAAGGCAUUGGUUAACUUGAACGGCGUUACCCUGAAUUCGUACAAACUGUACCUACACUAGAAAGCAGUCUUCAGAAUAUCUUAUUCCUUGACUCUCAGCUGGUAAUAUCUCAUUCUGAGGUCAAUCUUAAAGAAGACUGUAGCUCCUUACAAUUGAUCAAAGAGGUGGUCGAUCCAAGGUAAGGAGCACUUACUUUUAACUGUCACUAGGUUGAGUUCCUGGUAGUCCACACAAAGUCUGAGGAAACCAUCUUUCUUUUUCACGAACAAUAUGGGAGCGCCCCAAGGAGAAUGACUAGGGCGGAUAAACAUCCAGGUAAUUAGUUCAGAAAGCUGAUUUUCUAACUCCGUAAGUUCAGCUUGAUUCAUACGAUAUGCGGGCUUCGAGAUUGGUUGGGUUCUGGGCAGCAGUUCAAUUAGGAACUCUACUUCUCGUGGGGGAGGCAAACUAAGAAGUUCAAUGAGAACGACAUCUGAAAAAUUGCAAACAAUCGGUAUAGAACACACAGCAGGAUCAACACCCAUAUUCUUAUUUAUUCAAUUGUUAGGAAAAAUAAUAACAAUAGAUUUUAUUCCUUUUUCACGGACCGCAAAGUUAUAAUUUUACUUUCACAAUCGCUUAUUGCUUUAUACUUUUCUAACCAGUCCAUUCUUAAUAUCACAUCAAAUCCUGAAAAAUUUAACAAUAUUAUAUUCACAAAUACUUCUAUCUCUGAAACUUUUAUCUUAUAAUCUUUAUAUACACAGUGAGCUGCUAAUAGUCCCCUAGAGGAAGUUUCUACUAUUAAUAUUUUUGCUAAAGGUUCUGGCCUAAAAUCAAGAUUACAAGUAAAUGCACAGGAAAUAAAAGAGUGAGUAGCACUUAUAUUGAUCAAAGUCUUGGCAGAAGUAUCAUGAAUAGAAAGCAUACCCUGAAUAAGAACAGGAGUGGGGAGAGCAGCAGGUUCAUCUAGGUGGUACACACAAGCUUGUGCUACAAGCUUGGUUAUGUCCUUCGGUCGUUGGGGGUAAUCUUUUAUAAGAUGUUGGGUGCUUCAGCACCAAUAAUAGGCGUGAUUGAUAUGUCGACAUGGCAAGUCACCAUGCGAGUGACCACAAUGCUGACAGGGUUGGUUAGGUCAGGCAAGCUGAGCUACAGGUGAAGUCAAGGUAGGGGAAAUGGCAACUCUAAUUCGUUUAUUGAGGUGGCUACUUACUGGAUCUGGCAAUCUCCUUCUAGGCCGUUAGGGUUGUUGUUCUUGGGCAUGUGAAAUGAGGUCUUCAGCCAAUUAGGCAUGUUCUAGCACCUUCGCAUAUGAGCUGGGUCUCAGCAUUGCAACCCAACCAUUGAUAUCAGCACGAAGGCCCUUUAGAAACUUCCUAGCUUUUUUACUUUCAGGGGGUGACCAUUAAAGAGGUGAAUCUAGAUAGUUGGACAAAACGGGCUGCAUACUAGGCAAUCGUUAGGUUUUUUUGGCGAAGAUUCUAAAAUUUCUACUCCUUUUUUUCCCAAACAUAGGCAGGAAAGAAAUUAUCACAGAAUGCACCCAUCAAAACUUCUAAGGUGGUAGGGGUAGGAAGUAUUUCCUUGUUAAGUCGUCACUAGUGUUCUGCUUCACUGUUUAGCAUAAAGGCUGCUAGGAAAACUUUAUGUUCCUCAGUUAGGUCUAAGAGAGAGAAAAGUUUUUCUAUCUAUAGGAUCUAGACUUCGGCUACUAAGGGAUCAGGGCCACCUUCGAAAUGAGGCGGGUUAAGCUUCCUAAACUCCACUAUGUUGUGGGAAAUGGACCUUUCAGUCAUUUGGUAUUCUGGGGCAGGAGGUGGAUAAGGGUUGGCUUGAUUUUUUCCUACGGUUGCAAUCAAUUUCUGGACGGUUAUGAAAAGUUCGGCAAAUUCAGCCUUGGUCGAGUGAUCUAGGGUUUCAGAUCGCUCAGUACGCUCUACGAAUGGUCUUCCUUGCGUCAUUCCUAUAAAAGAAAAGAAGAUACGAGUUAGUGGUCUGAUUUUUACAAAUAGGACUUAUUCUUCCUAGGUACUCUAAGGGUCUUUCGACCUAAGGCCUCAGUGUAAGGGAUUUGAUCCAUGUAAUUCUGCUCUAAUACCAUCUGUGACAUUCCAAAUGCUAAUUAAGGCAUGUGGGUAUCAAAUACAGAAAUAGAAUUAUGAGUGCAUGAUAAAAUUUUAUAUAGCGGAAUAAAUUAAUACAUAUCCUUUACAAAUAUAUAUGAGUUCCAAUUACAUAUAUAUAAUUGAGGCUAAAAGUGGCUACAAAAUACAAAAUCAAAAUAUAAAAGAGGGUAACUUCUUUCAUUACACUAUUGGACUCAUCAGAGUGCGGGAACAAUCAUACACUCAAGUUUUGUGGAUCCACGGGAUCCUCAUAAACUUCAAUAGGUAAGUCAGCUGGCAGUUCCUCAUUUUAUUCCUCGUCGGGGGNNNNNNNNNNNNNNNNNNNNNNNNNNNNNNNNNNNNNNNNNNNNNNNNNNNNNNNNNNNNNNNNNUCGGGGGGGGGGGAGGGGGAGGGCAUGAGAAGAGUGAGUUCUAUAAAGCUCAGUAAAAAAAAUAAUAUUUAAAUAAUAUCGUAAGGUUUUAAAGGUGAAUUAUUCUAACAUAAAUACUUAUCAUUUGGUUAUUUCGAAGACCUAUCUUAUAUUAUGAAAAUAAUUUAUUAAUUAGAGAAAAUAAUAUGUUAAUAUAAACUAACACACAUCAUACCAGAUAAUAGAGAAAAUCAAAUAAAUUAUGAAAUGCUCAGAUUUUUGUGUCAUGCUUCACAAAGUUAUUAUAACUUCCAUCUCUGAAGGCAGAUAUAGAUUUCUGACUACCCAUAUAGAAUGACCAGAUUAGAUACGGAUAACGAUAAUUUACUCAGGCACAUUUCCACUUAGCCAAACCAUGGUACGAUCUAUGAUCUACGACCACGACCGUACAAACUAUAGUGGCCCUAUCAGAUUUCUAUAAUCACGAUAGUACAUUUCCACUUAAUAAUUUUUGUUGUGUGCUCGUUCCGAGCCUGUUGUGCACCCAUGCGCGCGCACAAUUCACAAGUGCCCACACGGAGAGCACCCCUUUCUCGCUGGAUUUUCCCACGAGAUUUCUUCCACUUUGCCGUUUUUUUCUAAAUUCAUUUUUAAUCGUACUAAAAUAAAGUAAAAAUAAAAUUAAUGUAAUUAAAAUAAAAUUAAAUAGAAUUAAUUAAAAAUAAAAAUUUAAAUAAUAUAAAAAUAAUUAAAAUCGGUAUAAUUCACAAAUUACAAUAAUAACUUGUGGAAUAAAUUAAAUGAGUUUAAUGCGGCCUAAAGGCCUAAAAAAAUAGGAUUUCUUUGAAAUCAAUUAAGUACAGUGAUGGGUGGGGUGUUACAGUAGGACUCUACUUCUUUUGUUUUUUCUUUUCUCCCUUUAUCCACAUACUUUUUAUUCCAAUGAGGAUUCUUCUUGAUGAUCGCCUAGAAAAAAGAAGUACAGCUUGAGAAUAACUCUUUCUGUUGUAAAAACAACCUCUCUCACGUGUGAGGGAACCUUGCGGGUGGGGUUGCCCCUCCUACACAUGUGUUUGCCCACACAUGUGAACAAGGACAUUUACAUGAGUGGCAUGUGAGAUCUGUGACUUUCCUUGGCUGGUCUACCUUUAUUUGACCUUCUCUUAGGCCUCCCAAGUGAGCUCAUCAGUUACCCAUUAUUGGACCAAUAAGUUGAAAAAUAGUUAAAACUUCACCCAACUCCUCAAGAUUGGGCUUAGGGGCAUUUAGAUCCUGCUUCCUAACUCUCAAAGAUCAUCUUGAUUAUUUUUGGGCUGCCUUUGGACUUGAGAUGGAUUAGAAAAUAAUAAUGAAUUAGGAAAUGAGUUAGGCUCCAAGUAGGUUUUCACUCUAGUGCUUGGGCCAGGAGUCUCUAAAGAAGGAAAGAAAUCCUUGUGGGAUUGGGAUUCUUCACGAAAAUUCUUCUCGAUACUGUCUGCGGGUACGCGAGGGUUUUCAAUUCUACGAGGUAACUCCUUUUUCAUGUUCAAAUUCAAAUAAUUCCCCCUUCUUUGAAAAAAAUUCAUCCUUGAAUCUUCACCUAUAUCAAAAAAAGAUAGAUUUGAAACAUUAAAAGUAGUAAACACUCAAUCCUCACCUGGUAGGUCAAUCUUGUAAGCAUUGUUGUUGAGUCAUUCCAAGACUUGAAAUGGCCCAUCACCCUUAGGAUCUAAUUUAGAUUUUCGUUAUUUAGGAAAUCUUUUCUUCUGCAUAUAAAUCGAAACCUAGUUCUUGGUUGGAAGACAACCCAUUUUCUCCCCUUGUUAGCAUUAUGGGUAUAAGAUUCAUUUCGCUUCUGGAUGUGUUGUCGUACCUUCUCAUGUAUAGUUUUAAUAAGGUUGGCUCUUUGCUGGCCAUCUGUAUUCUUAAUUCCAACAAAGGUAUAGGCAUUAGAUCAAGCAAAGUUAAUGGAUUACAACCAUAGACAAUUUCAAAAUGUUAAAAUCUUGCAGAGGUAUGAAUGCUACAGUUAUAUACAAACUCAACUGUAGGUAAACAAUCUUCCUAAAUUCUCAUAUUUUGACCAACUACAACCCUUAUAGAGAAUCUAAGGUUCUAUCGACCACCUUAGUUUGGUAAUCUACUUGGGGGUGACAUGUAGUGGAAAAUAGUAUUUCAGUCCCUAGUUUACCUUAUAACACUCGCCAAAAGUGGAUAAGGAACUUGGCAUCCCUAUCACUUAUGAUAGUCUUGGGAAUGUCGUAUAGCCUCACAACAUCCCUAAAGAACAAAUUAGUAAUAUUUGUCGCAUCAUGAGUCUUAUGGCAAGCAAUGAAGUAUGUCAUUACUAAAUCUGUCCAUUACGAGAAAUAUAUUCUCACUACCUCUCCUCAUUCUAGGUAGACCCAAAGCAAACUAUAUGAAAAUAUAUAUUCAAGGUGUUAUAGGUCAAACCUAGAUUUAGUUUUCCUACAUGCAAUACAUUAGCUACAUAUGCACUAACAUCAUUUUCAUGUUAUGCCAAAUAAAAAUACUCGUGUAGAAUAUUAAAGUCUUGUACCCAAAAUAACUCGUGCGUCGCCUAAUAUGUGUUUCACGAACUAGCAAUUCUCUAAGUAAACAAAUAGGCACAACAUAGCUUACUUUCCUUAAGAAGGAAACCAUCAUAUUUAUAAAACUUUUGGAAUGCAUAAUGCUCACAUACAUGAUAAACAAGGAAAAAAUCUUUAUCAUUCACAUAUAUAACUUUGAUAUGUUCAAAUCCUAAGAAUUUAAAACUUAAUGUAGCAAUUAAAGCAUACAUUCGAGACAAUGCAUCAACAACAAUAUUAUCUUUACCAUGUUUAUACUUGAGGACAGAAGAGAAUGACUUGAUGAACUUUACUCACUUACCAUGUCAACGGUUGAGUUUACCUUGGUCCUUUAGAUGCUUUAAGGACUCAUGAUUAAUGUGAAUCACAAAUUUCUUCGAUAGUAGGUAAUAUUGCCAUACCUCUAAUGAUCUUACCAAGGCAUACAACUCCUUAUCAUAGGUUGAGUAAUUUAGUAGCGCACCACUAAGUUUUUGCUAAAAUAGGAUACCGAACGCCCUUCUUACAUUAGAACUGCUCUACUACCCACACCUAAAGCGUAACAUUCAAGCUCAAAAGUUUUAUUAAAUUUAGGUAAAGAAAGAAUAAGUGCAUAAAAUAGUUAUUCUCUUAAUAAAGUAAAAAUAGAUUCCUGUUUUUAGUCCAUACAAACUUUACAUCUUUCUUAAAAAAUUCAUUUAAUGGGGUUGCAAUGGAACUAAAAUCUUUAACAAACCUGCAAUAAAAGCUUGUCAACCAAUGGAAUCUUUUUACCCCAUUGGUUGUUGUUGGAGUAGGUCUGCUUUCACUUUAUCCUCAUCCACCUCAAUGUUUGUGCACUUACCACAAACCCUAAAAAUAUUAAUUUAUCACUGCAAAAAGUCCAUUUCUUAUCAUUAAAAUAUAACUGCUCAUUCCUAAGAACCUUAAGGACAGACUGGAUAAUAUUGGAGGUACUCCUUUAAGGACUUACAAUAUAUUAGGAUAUCAUCAAAGUAAACUACAAUAAAUUUACCAAUGAACGGUUGUAGGACAUAGUUCAUAAGUUUCAUAAAGGUACUAAGGGCAUUUGACAUACCAAAGGGCAUUAUUAAUCAUUCAUAUAGAUCAUACUUCAUCUUAAAUGUGGUCUUCCAUUUGUCCCCCAGUUUCAUCCUAAUUUGACAAUAACUAUCUCUUAAUAUCUAUUUUAGUAAAAAUAAAAGAAACACUAAGUUCAUCCAACAUAUCAUCCAGCCUAGGGAUGGGGUAUCUAUACUUUACUAUUAUUUUAUUGAUGACUCUGCAACCAACACAUAUCCUUCAAGAACCAUCCUUAUUAGGUGUUAGUAGCAUAGGAACAACACAAGGGCUCUAGUUUUCUCUAACAUGUCCCCUUCUUAACAACUUCUUUACUUAUCAUUGAAUUUCCUUCAUUUCCUCAAGGUUACUUCGAUAGACAGAACGAUUUAAAAUUGAUGCUCCAGGGACAAAAGUCAAGCUAGUGCUCUAUCCUUCAGAGUGGUAGAAGAUCAUCUAGGAUUUUCUCUAAAAAGACAUCCUCGAACUCCUAUAAAAAAAAGGAAACAAGACUAGACAAUGAAGAGGUUAAGGUCAGAUAAGUUUAAAUAAGCCUCUUUAUACUGAAGCACAAUUAGACUCUUUUUCUCAUAAAUUACUCGCCUCACCUCUCAUGCAGUCAUAAAAAGACUUUUUUUUCUUUUCUUUCUCUCACUUUCUCUCAUGGGCCUUUAUUCUUUUUUCUUUUAGGUCUCUUUUUCACUCAGUGGGUCAUUCUUUUUUCUUUCAAUCUCUUUCUCUCUCAAUGGGUUAUUCUCAAUUUUUUUCAGCUUCUUUUUCUCUUAAUGGGUCAUUUCUUUUCUUUUCAGCCUCUUUUUUUCUCAGUGAGCCAUUUUUUUUCUUUUCAACCUCUUUUCUUUCUUUUUCUAUUUUUUGUUCUAAAUGUACAUUAAUAGCUCUCUUGACCUUGAUUUGAUCCUUAUGUACCCCUUUUAGUGAUAGAGGUGUAAAAAUAUGAUUUAGACUUUUUUACGUAACGAGUAACAGUUGGUGAAACCGUUAUGUUGUACUUGUCUAUCAAACUACUAAGAUCUCCUAACUAUCAAAUGACUGGCAUACAUAGGUACAACAUCACAACAUACCUCAUUCUUAUAUUUGUUGAUGGAGAAAGAUACCAUGACUUACUUCGUGACUUUGACUUCACCACACUCAUGUCACCAGUGUAAUCAGUAAGGACUAUGGUGCUUAGUGCAUGUUAACUCCAANNNNNNNNNNNNNNNNNNNNNNNNNNNNNNNNNNNNNNNNNNNNNNNNNNNNNNNNNNNNNNNNNNNNNNNNNNNNNNNNNNNNNNNNNNNNNNNUAAAGCAACAUGUAUGGAAUAUGUUCUUCUGUUGUUUAUUGUUUGUGCUCGUAAGUUAUAAAUUUAGAGCUCUUUGAACUACAAGGACAUUAUCCCAUAUUAGAGUUUCUUUAAUUGUUUGAGAUAUAGUAAAGCACCUGCAAAAAAAAGGCUAGUAAAAAAAAAUUCCUCCUUCUUACCUUCACUUGUGUUUACUUCAUAAUCUCUUACACUCAACUUCUUCCCUCAAGUUGAGCGUUUGAAAUCUAAUUCUCUUAAAUCAAGAUCUGCACGUUAGUCUUAAAGACACAACAAUAAGUCUUAAGGGGAUCUUGUUUUUAGAAGCUUAAAAUUAAGCACACAAAUGAAGAAGUUGUGAUGCUUUUAUUAAUAAUAUGUUAAGUAACUUGAAUGCAAUAAGCUACUUAGAUGUGUCUUGGAAUAAAAAUAUAAUUAGAAAAAAUAAACUUAGAACACAAAGAAACAAAUAUGGAUUUAAAGUGUAAGGGAUUUGAUCAAUCUUGAUGGAUAUAACAAGUAUCUUAUUCCUAAUUAUUCCACCCCAAUGAUAACUACGCUCUACGAUUGAUUAAAUUUCUUUAUUUAAAUGUAAAUCCAGACUCAAUGAUGUUGUGCUUGAAAUUAAAAUAUGAAGCAAAUGGUUUUCGCACACUUUUUGGUGAGGUAAUCUUCCUUUGAAAAAUAAAGGUUUUCAUCACACUGAUAGGCAAUUAAUCUCCCUUAGCUUGUAAAUGCAAACAUAAUGAAUGUUGAAUUGUCUUAUGAUGUGCAAUCACUUUUCUUUGAUUUUUUUGGAUUUUUUUAACUAAUUAAACAAAUGAACUUCUAUUUAAAAGAAUAAUUAGAUAAUAUCAAAUGGGAUGCAAUAAAAUGGAUUCAAAAUUAGGUGUUUGAUUGCUAAUUAUGCAACAAUAAUAUGCAAAAAAAUUUAAGAUAGUAGAUUCAAUGGUGCCUAAGCUCUGAUACUAAAUGAUGUGGGACCUCCAGGAUCAAAACACCUUGAUCAUGAACCCACAUCAACAGUAGCAAGCUGAAACUUAAUUUCCUAAUUAAAUCCUCCCUACUUGAACUAUAUUCAACAAUUUGAAUGCAAACCAAGUUGAUUGGGAAUUAAAAUAAGGAACAAAAAAGCCAUUACGACUUACCCGAUAAGUUGAUUCAGAUUUUUUGACUCAACAAGAUGGUUGAAGCAACCUCCCUUGAAGAACACUCACUCUCACACAUUAGUAAAACUUCUUAUAAAGAAUAAAACUUAAAGCCUUAAUUGAAUAAUCUGAAUUGUUGUGAUUAUAGCCUAAGGUCAGGCCUUUAUAUAAGCAUUCACCAGAAAAAUUCUAUAAAAACUCAAAUACUUGACUUUUAUUCAAACUCUAUCUAUAUUCUAAGUUUAUCUAAAUCUUAAGAUUAAAAUAAUAAUUAAAUACAUUAAAAUAAUCAUUUAAAUAAUAAAAUAAUACUUAAAAUAUCUAGAUAGAUAAUCCUCCUCUCUUUGGUCGGUCCUUGUGAAUUAUUCUGUGUGCGUUUUUGCUUCAUUUAGUUGUAAAGUCAUAAGAAACAUGUGAUUAAAAUAAAGAAAAAGCUUUCUCCUUCAACUCGCAUGAGUAAGGCCAUUGGGAUUGCCUUACCGCAGGUUUACAUCCAUUUGGUUUUAUCUUUUCUCCCUUUAUUUGCAUUCUUUUCAAUCUUAUAAGGAUUCUUCCCAUUGAUCGCUUAAAAAGAAGAAGUGCAACUUACGAAAGACUCUUAUUGCCAUAAAAACGACCUCCCUCACGUGAGAGGGAACCCCACGAGUGAAAGUUAUCUCUCCUGCACAUGUGUUUGCCUGCACAUGUGAACAAGAACAUUCACAUGUGUGCCAUGUGACAUCCGCGACUUUUCAUGUUCGGUCGACCUUGAUCUCGCUUUCUAUUGGGCCUCCUAACUGAGCUCUUCACUUACCCAUUCUUGGACCAAUAUGUUGAAAGCUAGUUGAAACUUAUUCUAACUUUUAACUUAUUAGCUUGACUCCUCGUGAUUGGGCCUAAGGGCAUUUAGAUCCUAUUUCUAACUCUUAAAUAUCAUCUUGAUUAUUUUUAGGCAGUCUUUAGGCUUGAGAAGGAUUAGGAAACAAGGAGGAAUUAGGAAAUGAGCUAGGCUUCAAGUUGGUUUCCUCUUUGGUGCUUGGGCUGUGGGUUUCUAAAUAAAAAAAUAAAUCCUUGCGGUAUUGGGAUUCUCCACAAGUAUUCUCCCAAGUACUGUCCGCAAGCACGCGAGGGUCUUCGAUUCCGCAAGCUAACUCCUUUGUCAUGUCUAGAUUCAUAUUAGUCUUUUGUCCUGAUAAUUAGGGACUAGCAAUGGCCUUUUAUUAUUUUAAAAUAUCUAGGAGCUCUCUCCUUAUUCUUUAUUUAGUUAUUCGACCACUUGAACCUUUUCUAAGACUCCUCGAUAUGUCACUAGAACGAACACAAUUACCUAACGAUAAAGGUCAGGCCUCAGUCCUCUCUCAAACCUUCGGGCCUUCUUAGCUCAUUCAUCAUCAUGUCCAGGGAAAACCACCUCAACUUAAUGAAUUUUUCUAAUUACUCUGCCACUGUGAACUUUGCUUGGUGCAACUCUAAGAACUCAUUUCUUUUUCUACUGUCUAAUGAAAUUAGGAAAAUACUCGGCGUUGAAUGCCUCUAAGAAAAUUUCCCAGGUAAUGGGAGGAAUCAUAGCUCUUUUCUUCAAGUUCCACCAAUGUUCUACUGCUCCUUUUAACAUGAAAAUAACUAAUUGAACCUUCUAUUUGGUAGUGACUUCUAUUACUUCUUUUUAAAAUAGUUUUUCUAUCUCUUUAAUCCACACCUCUACUAUAAGUAGAUCAAAAUGGCUUGUAAACACUGGGGGACCCAACUGUUUAAACCUCUCAUUGUUGCUGGAGUCAACACCUGCAUGAACCAUAUUUUGAUGUUGAUAGUAGGGUGGUUCCGGGCAUAAUUCUCACUCUUGAACAAUUGUCACUAGGCUCUCCACGACUUGGCACAGCUUGUUAAAAUAUUCCUAAUUGAGACCUUUUUGGGUUGGUUUAACCUUGUGGAGCAGGGGGGUGACCCUUAAUGAGUUAGAAGUGGUGUUUAUUGAACUGGGGGCCAGUCUUGAGGAGCUAGGGUUGGCCCUCUCUAAGGUCGACCUCUGCCUCGUUCACAUUUCUAUUAUUCUUGCAAUUCAAAGGUAUUUUCACCUAAGAUCAUAAGAGAAAUUCAAUUUCCUUCUAAUCUAUAUAAAUUCUCAAGUCUAUUGUACAAAUGAUGGUCCUAGGAAAGUUGUUGUGAUACCCACUAUAACAACCUGUGAUUUUGAUGAAAUCACAAGUAUCUAAACAUCUUGAACAUUUAAAAUGCAAUGUCAAAUUUGUAUGAAAAUGCAAAAUACAAAUUUAUCCAAACUCUCAUCUUUCUAAUUUUAGUUAGAUCUAAAUAAUUAAAAUAGUCACGUAACAUAUCUCUAAUCUCAAAAAACUAAGUAAUACUUCAGAGUCUGAAAACUUAUAUAUCAAUACUAAUCAAAGAUAACAUAAAUCUCAUAUACUUAGAGGGUCUAGUCACUAUCGUAACUAGUCUUGUAUUUGCUCUUAGGUUUCAUGUUCUUAAAAAGAAUGAAAAAGAUUGAGCUGCACAUGCUUAGUACGAACCAUUUAGUACCCUAACCUGCAUAAAUGUAAAUAGUACAAGUGAACCCUCAGUAUACUGUAUCUAAGUGAGACCGGAUUCAUUUCUAAAUGAGUGUUACUAAUCUCGAAUAUCUUAUUUAUUCGAAUUAUUCAUCACUUUAAAACAUUUUUCUAGACAUUGUUAAGUAUUUUACUUUUCUAUUUCCCUGUUAAUAGUAAAAUCAAGUAAUCACUCAACAUUUUACCCAUAAUGCAAUAUAAUUCACUUUUUCUUUUACUUUAAUAUCACUUAUCAACUAUAUAAUGACAAUUUAUAACUAUAACCGAUAGUGCGUCAAAACAUCUUCAUUGUCCAUUUUUUAGUACUAAAUUGAAUUUUUUUAUAUUUGAUUUAAGCUAUUUUAUUCAUUUUGAUACAGGAUAGAAGAUGGAGCCCUACGUCAGGAAAACAACAUAAACAGAGCAGAUUUUGUGAAGUAGUUGUCAAUCAUUGUAUAAGUUUUCGUCAAGGCUUAAACCCUGCAGCAAAGGCAGAUUUUGGCUCACACACAAUCAAGCCUCGGGCAAGGUUAAUGUAUCAGAAAGGGCUAUAAGUCUCAGUACACCAGAUUAAGCCUCGACCAAGCCUUAAACAUGUGCAGCAACAUAUUUGACAAAAAAAAGAUGCACUGUCGAAUUAAAAGAAGAAAUUUAGUUGCGCCCGAAAAAGGAAANNNNNNNNNNNNNNNNNNNNNNNNNNNNNNNNNNNNNNNNNNNNNNNNNNNNNNNNNNNNNNNNNNNNNNNNNNNNNNNNNNNNNNNNUACUAAGCCCACCAUGAGUGGCUGAUAACAUUCGUUGCUAGUUACAGAUUUAUUGAAAAUUCCAAUUUGAAUUAUGAGAUCUAAUUGCUUUAUUUAUGAUUUCAUUAAAGCUUCAGUAUUUGCUUAUUUCUAUGUGUGUAUUAUUAUUGUUGCUUGUUAACUGUUUGACUAUGGCUGGUUAGAUGCGUGACAAGGCAAUAUACUACCAUUUGAAAAUCCUGAAUCCGUAAUUAUUUGGGUUAUUUCGAUACUCAAUAGUAAAUUAGUCUUUAAGCUAAGGGAAUAGGUGAUCUGAUUGAACAGGUCACGUGGUUGAAUCUGACAACUAGAUACAGGUUCUUUUAGUUCUCAAGGCUGUUGAUAGAUUAAAUUCUAUAAACAUUUCCAAGACUAUUUAUCAAUAAAAAUAAACUAACAAAUAUUUUUUGGUUAAUUAAGGAUUAAGGAAGAAUCGGUUGUCGGAACAUUUUCGAUAACCAAAACUAGUUUGUAGAGCUUUAGUAAGACCGAUCAUUAUAUCGAUGGUCAAUUUCACUAUUGGAAUCUAGCUACUUCUUUAACUGGGAUUAUUCUUAUAUCUGUUAUUUCUUUGAUUGUCUUCUGUUCCAUUGUGUAAAUUUUAGCUUAGUAGUUUGUUUUUUUUCAUCGUUUAAACUUGAAGAAAAACCCCCUGCUCUUGUUUUCGUUGGUCAAAGAAGAAUACAAUAUCCGAAUUUGUUUUCAACAGAUAUUGCAAUGCCACAAGAGUAUGAAAAUAUAAUGACCUUAGUCUCUAAUAAAUAAGAGCAGAACUUUUUCAAGACAAACGCAACAGCAAGUAGUUAUUUUUCAGUGGUCGAGUAGUUGACUUGAACACUAUCUAGAUAUAAUACCCUGAAACCUCUAUAUUCGGAUAUUGUAUUUUUAAAUUUUAUAUUUUUGUGAAGAGGAAGGAGGGGAAGGUGCUUUAAAUAGCCUUCCCAAAUGAAUGUGAUCUGUUGGAUCACAUGUAAUUAAUGGUAGCCAUUGAUCGGCCAACUGGCUAAGUGGCCACCCCCACAUGGCGUGCAUGUGUGCCAUGUCGUAACCAUGCAUGCCCAAUAGUGGGCUAACAAGACAACCCAUCCGUCGAGGGUCACGCAAAGUGACCUUGCAAGUGGUUGCACACUUCAGGCGGACAACGCGUGCACCCAAGCUGACGCGACAGUCCCUGCAAACGUACAGGCAUGCGCGAACAAUCACAUGCGACGUCCCUGCGUGCGCAGCAAACACGUGGGCAUAGUCACAGCCUUUCACGCAGGUUCACAGGUCCUUUCCCUCCAUUUUUCUGUUUUUGUUUUAUCUUUUAUUCUUUUUAAAAAAUUUUAAAUUCUUUUUAGCUAAAACAAAAAUUAAAAAUUAAAAAUAAAUUCAUGCACAAUAUAAUUUAAAUGCAUAUUAAAAUUAAAACACUAUAAUUUAUUAAAAUAUAAAAUUUAAAAAUACAAUAUCCGAAUAUAGAAGUUUCGGGGUAUUAUAUCUAGAUAGUGUUCAAGUCAACUACUCGACCACUAAAAAAUAACUACUUGCUGUUGCGUUUAUCUUGAAAAAGUUCUGCUCUUAUUUAUUAGAGACUAAGGUCAUUAUAUUUUCAUAUUCCUGUGGCAUUGCAAUAUCUGUUGAAAAAGAAAAAAGCCAAAUCAAGACUAAUUCGAUGGAUACUCUAACUGCAGGAAUUCGAUUUAGAAAUAAGAGACAAAAGGGGUAUGGAGAAUUUUAUUGCUGAUCACCUUAGUCAUCUGCUGUUAAAGGAAGAGCUUAUGCCAUUGAAAGAUGAAUUUCCAAAUGAACACCUUUUCUGGGUAACGCUGUGGACACUCUGGUACGCUGACAUAGUCAAUUAUUUGGUCACCAACACAUUGCCAGCUAAAUUGUCCAGAGCACAAAAAGAUAGAAUCAAGAAGAAUAAUAGUAAUAUGUGUGAGAUGACCGUGCAAAUCAGAUCAUUCGCUGAUGCAUCCCUAAAGUAGAAGUUCCUUCCAUCCUGAACUUUUGUCAUUCUCAUGCUUGCGGGGACACUUCAGUCCUAAGCGCAUGGUGCGCAAAGUGCUGGAAUGCUGGUUAUUUUGGCCUUCCCUGUUCCGUGACGCAUAUAUCUAUAGUAAAAUAUGUGAAAUUGCCAACAUACAUGAAAUUAGGCCGCAAGGAUUAGAUGUCAUUAACACCCAUCCUAGUCUACGACAUCUUUGAUGUGUGGGGGAUAGAUUUUAUGGGACCCUUUCCAUCCUCCUUCGAAAACUCAUAUAUUUUACUUGCAGUGGAUUAUGUCUCCAAGUGGGUGAAAGUUAAGGCCACCAGAACCGACGACGCCCAAAACUGUUGUCAACUUCAUCAAAACCCAUAUCUUUGUUAGGUUUGGAGUGCCUCAUGCGAUGAUAAGUGAUAGGGGAAUACAUUUUUGUAAUCGAAUUGUGGCUUUAAGAAGUACCAUGUCAGACACCGUACCUCCACCACUUACCAUCCGCAGAUCAGUGACCAAGCAGAAGUUUCAAACAAGGAGGUGAAGUCCAUACUAGAGAAAAAAUUCAACCCCAACAAAAAAAGACUGGAGCUUAUGGCUAGAGGAUGCUCUAUGGGCCUACAUUACAGCCUACAAAACUCCUAUCGAAAUGUUAUCCUACUGCCUGGUUUUCGGUAAGGCCUACCACCUUCCUGUGGAGCUAGAACACAGGGACUAUUAGGCAAAUAAGAGUUACAACAUGAAGAUAGAAGAGGCCAAGCAACAUAAGAAGCUGCAACUACAGGAAUUGGAAAAGAUAAGAAAUGAAGCUUACGAAAAUUCACGAAUAAAUAAAAAGAAGAUAAAGUCCCUCCAUGAUCGAAUAGUCACCAAAAAGUAGUUUUUUUGUAGGACAGGAGGUCCUACUUUAUGAUUCCCAUCUGAAGUUGUUUCCCAGAAAAUUACGUUCUAAGUGGUUAGCCCCUUUAUUGUCACAAAAAAUUCCACGCCGGAGCAGUUGAGAUCAAGAGUCUAGACACGGAUAAAACAUUCAAAGUAAAUGGACACCGACUCAAGCCAUCUAUGAAAGAUUUGUAGGACAACAAGUUGAAGAGCUCAUCCUAGAAACCCCUACAGAUAACAACCGAUAGCGCAGAGGCAAUCUCUAGCCUAGGACAGUACACAAGGGUGUUUAACAAGAGGCAACCCAUUUUUUCUCGUUUUUUUUCUAUUUUCCUUAAAACUAUUUUGAUGUUUUUAAAAUAUAUGUGUUAUUAAGGUUUUAACCUCAAUCACUCUAACUGGAAUUUUCUUCUUUAUUUACAGGCUGUUGAAGAAACAAUGCAAGACCACUGGGUCACCAGGCUGUAAAGACUGCAUUACCCUUGCCUAAGGCUAAGAGCGAUAACCCAAGCCUUGCCCAAGACGAAGAGUGAUAACCCAAGCUUUGCCCAAGGCCUAGAGCGACAAGUUAAGCCUUGCCAAAGGGUUAGCGCGUGCCUUGUCUAAGGGUUAAUAACUUCACAAGCCUUUUCAUGGAUCGGAUGCAAGCCACAAGGCUUAAACCAUGGUAACAUAAGAAGUCUAGUUUAGAAAUAUUUAGAUAAUUCAUGCCCAAGGGUUACGUUGUAGAUGUGAUUGAAGUUUUAUACUGUGUAACCUUUGCCCAAGGCUAAAGUGAAAAAAAGAAAAAAAAAAUUCCCCUUGUGAACUAUCCACUAAGCCUUUGUCUAGGCUCAUGACACCUGACGUCCAUUUUAAAUUUAAAAUCCCUACCCUAAAACACCACUCCCCACUUUCACAAUCAAACUCUCACUCUUUUCCCUAAUCACAACCUCUCACCUCAAACCACAAGCUCCACCUAAGGAACACGCUUCACUGCAUGAUGCAAGCAACCCCUCGACCCCAUAGCAGAUGAACCUCUAGUGUCUCCCACCCCCUAGCCAACAAUACUAGGGGAUUAUUCUAUCCUUUCUUUUUCUCUUAUUCUGUUUUUUUUUUCAUUUCUUAUUUUCUGGUUUUCAUGCUACCUUGCUUGUGUCAAAUUGGGGACAAUGUGCCUUUUAAGGGUCGAAGAGGCACAUGCUGCACUUUUACGUUUCCAUUUUGGUCACAUUUUUUCUUUUAAGUACAUGCUGAUAUGCAUUCGUAGCCCUACCCAAGUCACACAUAACUACAUUUUCAACUAUUUUUAACCCCAUCUUUUCACUACUGCCUUGGUAUUUCCAAAAUAAUUUAACUGGUGUUUCAAGAACUAAAUUACAUUUUCAGUAACCUUCUAAGAUUUCUGACUUAUUUUUCAUCUUUUCACACCAUGAAGAACUAUUUCUAUUAAUAUGUCUUAACAUAACUUGUUUAGGAAUUGCAUUCAAUUGAUUUUCUCUUGUCCUGAGGUGAACACUAGUGCCUAGGGAACUUACACAACUAUCUGUCUGAAUUUGCAUGUUCAAAUUCACCAAAAAAAAGGAGAGAAAGAGCAUGAACCAUAAACUACUCGUCUAGUUGAAUGAAUUUAUAACCAAUUGUGUAACCCGGUGCAUUCAUCAUAAAUGUUUGUCAUCACGUCAAAAGGUUGGUAACAUUUAAGAUAGCCAUAAAAGUGUUAGUCAAUCGAUUAUGAAUAGUACUAGUAGCCUCUGAAAAUUGUGACCAGCUGAGUAACCGGGUGCAUUCAUCAUAAAUCUUUGCCCUCACAUAAAAAAGUUAAUGAAAUUUUAAGUCAACAAAAGAGUGCUCAAGAAGUAAUUAUUUUAAUUAUUUGUUCUCACAAUAACCCAUUUGCAUUAAGACUUUAUGUUUAGACAAGUUUAGUGUGGAUUUUACCCUAGUUAUUGGCUAUUCUUUUCAAGAUAAAAAUGUGUUCAAAAACCUACAAAACCUUUCCAUUUUAUGCUUGGAUAUUAUUCAAAGUAGUUAUUCUUUGGUGUGAUUCCAAGAAACUCAAGCCUAAAACUGCUAGUAAGGACUGUUUUUGCAAAUUUAAGAUUGAAAUAUAACAUGCAAGUUGUGGAAAAAUUAUUAAGGGCAGUAGGGUUGAGGGUGCAAGGUUGAGACUUGUUGAGUUAUAUUGUGAAGUGCUUGGAGGCAAGCACAAGAUAAAUGUGGAGGAGUUUAAUAGUGUGUAAAAACAUCAUCUUCAUUGCCCAUUUUUAAGUACUUAAUUGAAUUGUUUGCUAUCUAAAUUAAACUAUUUUAUUCAUUUUGAUAUAAGACAGAAGAUGGAGCCUAAGUCAAAAAAAUAACAAAAAAAGAGCAGAUUUCAUAAAGCAACUGUCAGUCAUGGUAUAAGCCUCAAUCAAGACUUAAACCCUACAGCAACAACAGACUUUGGCUCGCACACAAUCAAGCCUUGGGGAAAGCUAAUGCAUUAGAAAGGGCUAUAGGUUUUAGGUACACCUGACUAAGCCUCGGUCAAGGCUUAGACACGUGCAAUAGUAUAUUUUAAAAAAAGGCACAUUACCGAAGUAAAAGAAGAAAUCCCAUUGCAACCAUAAGAGGAAAUCAAGAAUCAAGGAAGAGAUUAUUUUGGAAAGCAAGAAGGAAGUCGAAAUCAUUAGGAAAGAUCUCUAUCUUUGCAAAAAGAAAACCCUAAUCCUCCUGGGGUUUAAAAGGAGAAGAAAACCAGAGAAGAAGGCAUCAUGGAUGCUACACACUGCAACACUUGUAGCUUUCUAAAAUUUUCUUCCUUUUUUCUCUUUUCAAUAGUCAUAAAACUCUAUUAUGUACUAAGCCCAUCAUGAGUUGCUGGUAACUUUCUUUUCCAGUUACAGAUUUAGUGAAAAUUCUAGUUUGAAUUGUGAGAUAUAAUGGCUUUAUUUCUUGUUUCAUUAAAGCUUCGAUAUUCGUUUAUUUCUCUAUGCGUAUUAUUGUUGCUCCUUGUUAACCAUUUGAAUAGGGCCUGUUAGCACGCGACAAGCAACAUACUACCAUCCAAAUACUAAUCCGUAAUUAUUUGGGUUGUUUCGAUACUCAGUGGUAAAUUAGCCUCUGAGCUAAGGAUAUAAGUGAUCUAGUUGAGUGGGUCACACGGUUGAAUUCGACAACUAUAACUAAGUUCUUCAAGUUUUCAAGGUUAUUGAUAAAUUAAAUUCUAGGAACAUUUCCAGAGCUAUUUAUCAACAAAAAUCAAUUAAUGAACAUUUUUUGGUUGAUUUAGGAUUAAGAAAGAAUCGGUUGUCAGAACAUUUCUGAUAACCAGAACUAGUUUGUCGAGCUUUAGUAAGACCAAUCAUUGCAUUAAUGAUUAAUUUCACUACUGGAAUCUAGCUACUCCUUUAAUUGGGAUCAUUCUUAUAUCUACUUAUUUCUUUGAUUGUCUUUUGUUUCUUUGUUUAAAUUUUAGCCUAGUAGUUUGUUUCUUUUCAUCGUUUGAACUUAAAGAAAAACCCCAUGCUCUUAUUUUUCGUUGGUCAAAGAAGAAAAGUUGUUCUUGAUUCCCUAAGGAUUCGACCCUAUUUACCACUAUUAUAAUUCUAUUUUGUUGGUUGAAUAUGACUUUUAUUUUUGGUGGAUUUGAUACCCAUAAACAAUACAUCUUAUUUUUUUCAUAAUUGGACACCUAUAUCUUAUUGUACAAUGUCAUUUAAAUCAUUAUUAAAGAGGGCAGUAAAGAUCACCUCUAUCAACGUGAACACAAUCAUAGAAAUAGUGAAAACUAAAAUAUGCUUCCACUAUACGGGACUCACUAAUCGACCGACAUCAGCAACAUACACACCCACCCCUCAACGGACAUAGUAUAGUAUAACAUAUUAGAUAUUUUUUGCAUGGGUUCACUAAUCAACCAAAAUAAGCCAUACACACAUCUAUCCAUCUGUAACACCCCACUCACCACUGUGUUUAAUUUAUAUUUGAAAAAUCCUAUUUAUUUGGGUCUUAUGGUCACACUAAACUCAUUUAUUUUAUUCCGCAGCUUAUUAUCGUGAUUCGUAAAUUAUGUUUAUUUUUAUUUUGUUUAAUUUUAUUUAAUUUUAUUUUGAUUUAAUUGUUUAAUCGUCAUUUUUUUUUAAAUAAACGAUUUUCAGAAAAAAUAAAAAAUAGGGAGAAAAAUCUUGCGAGAUUCUGCCCACGUGGGCGCCCGUGUGGUGUGUGCGCUCGUGCACACUUCCCAUCGCGCGGCGUAGAGGACAGGCCUGCGCACGCGUCUUGUCACGCACAGGCAGGACCUGUCCACGUGCGUCACAUUGCGUGCAAACAGGUAGGCGCCACACACUGUGUGCGGCCAUUCGUGCAAUAAGCCUGCAUGAAUUGGCUUGCGCGCCUUGGGCCUGUGCUCGGCUCCUCACCACGCCUUGGCCCUGUGCACAUAGGCCAGUUCCUGCGGCAGGGUAGACUGGCGCCUAAAGGCUAGGCCUACAAUGAGCACUAGGCAAAUGAGGCCAUUGCCACCUCGGACAGUGUGUCGUCGCCCAUCUUGGGUGGCAUGCUGCUGCUUAAGGUGUCGCCACCAGUGGAGGAGGUUUUUUUCCUCCGUUUUUCAUACUAAAUCUUUUUACUCUCUCUCCACCAGAUUUUACCACUUGGCACAAAUCCAAUGGCCUCCAUUUUCUAUAAAUAUGGGUCUUUCCUCCCAUUUUCUCUUCACUUUCAUUCUUCCACCUUUCAAGAGUUAGAGAGAGAGAAUGAGAGUGAUUUAGAGAGAGAAUGAGAGGAGAAAAAGAAGAAUGGUGUAGAAAAAAUUAUCAAGGUUUCGAUAAGAAAUUUAGUAUUUCUUUAGACAUCUUAAUGGAUAUUUUUAGACAAAAAAAAGGAUUAAAUUGAUAAUUCUAUGACUUUACGUAUUUUGCAUGCUCUAUGUUAGUAGACUUAAUAAGUUGAAUUGUUCUUGAUUUCGAGCAUACUAUAUGAGUUAUAGAUACUUGAUGAUUUGCAUAUAAUUAAAAUAAUAUAAAACAGGUAAGGCUAUAUAGAAAAAAAAAAAAAAAAAAAAAAGUAGAAUAAAGUAUGAAUGGUCCGAAGUAUGUACCUGUAUUGACAUGCAUAACGCAUUAAGUAUCUCAUUAGACUUUUUAUCUCUAAGGAGUAUCUAUUCCUCUAUCCCCAUUCGGGAUAUUUUUUUUUCCUCCCCCAUCUGGUAUGGAAAGACGUAAAAGGAAUGUUCCUUAUAGAUGACGGCAUACCCUCUGACGAGAGUAGUGAUGCAAAUAUCUGUUAGGAGUCACAUUUAGUUAAAUAUUUUCGUAACUAUAGAAUAUUUUAUAGGAUCACUAUGCUUGGUACGACCAUGGUCAUAGAUCGUACCAUGGUUUGGCAAUCCGGAAAUGUCUCUGAGUAAAUUGUCAUUAUCUCUAUCUAAUCUGGUCAUUCUAAAUGGAUAGUCGAAAAUUUAUAUCUGCCUUCAAAGAUAUAAGCCGUAACGACUUUACGAAGCAUGACACAAAAAUCUGAGUAUUUCAUUAUUUAUUUGAUUUUCUCUAUUGUUAGGUAUACUGUGUUUUAUUUUAAUUGUUGACUAUAACGUGAUUUUUUUUAAUAAGUAAAUUAUUUUCAUAAGGUAAGAUAGAUCUACGACGUACCUAAAUGGUAAGUAUUUAUGUUAGAAUUAUUCACCUUUUAAAACCUUAUGAUGUUAACUAAAUACUAUUUUUCUUACUGAGCAUAUGAAACUUACUUUUUCUAUGCUCCCAGAUGAGGAAGAUGAUGAGGAACCAUCAGCUGAUAUACCCAUUGAACUUUAUGAGGAUCCCAUAGAUCUGCAUACUUUGAGUGCAUGAUCGUCCUCGCACUCUGAUGAGUCCAAUAGUAUAAUGAUAGAAGUGGCUCUCUUUUGUAUUUUGACAUUGUAUUUUCCGGUCACUUCUGGCCUCACUUAUAUAUAUAUAUAAUUGAAACUCAUAUAUUUAUAAGGAAUUUGUAUUAAUUUGCUUUGUUACAUAUAAUUUUUAUCAUGCACUCGUAAUUUUUUUUCUGUAUCUGACACCUCAAUGCCUUAAUUAGCGUCUGAGAUGUCACACCAUCCAAGAACAUAACCACUGCAAUCACAUCUAUAUCAUACCGCAUAGCAAGUACAAUGCACUAUAAGUGUAAUUACAUCUAUACCGGACUACAUAGCAAGUACAAUGCACAUUACCAUAAAAUAUCUUUUUCGUCCACGUGAUAGGUUUCAUCAUCAACCAUAUCGACCGAAUCUCGGCCACACACACGCAUUAAUUUGCUUUCACAUUUUGAUUUGAAUUUUCCCUUUAAUUUUAAAUUUUCGCUCAAUAGAUUAUAUAUUUAUUUCAUACCUUUUUUUUUAGUUAAUUAAUUUCUUUCCUUACGUAUUUUUCUCUAACUUUAACCUUCACAACGAACUUAACAUUUAAUAUCAUUCCAUUAAUAUUUUAUUCGUAUAGUUUCAUUAAUAAUUUUUGUUUAACCCUAUUUGUCUAUUUAGUUAAUUUUUUGUUGUACAUUUAUGACAAGGUUUAAUACUAACCCCACUCACAACCCUAUCGUACAUGGUAUUCUUCGAUAUAUUUAUAAAUAGGCUCUAUAAUAUACUUCUAAUUUAAUAUUUUUAUUAAUUUUUGUUGGUGAUAUUAAUUUCAAAUCCACUUCUGGUUUUAAUUUUUGGACCAAUAUCCUUAGUCAACCUAUUAGACAUUUUAUUUUGACCCAUUAUAUCAUUUUGGAUAAUUAAUUCACUCUUAUCAUAUGUUAUCAUUAAUACUAUUAUUGUUAUUAUAAUUAUUAUUACUAUAACUUAUUUAUUUAUUCUUUUCUUCCUUUUUGGGUCUCUAUUCAGUGGCCCACUUUCCUAUUGCCCAUUAAGAUAAUAGUUUUGAUUUUAGAAAAAGACUUGGCUCUACCCUUGAAAUUUCUAGUUCUGACUCCUUUAGAAAUUAUAUUUUCGGGCUUGACUCGUUUAAGCCAUUGGUUAGGAACCAUCUAUCUUUUAUAGGCUCAACCCAUUAAUAUGUUUUAGGUUCAGCCCAUUCAGAAAUCAAUUCCCCAUAACCCUAAAGUUUCCUACAUCUUAUCUCUCCACCCAUGAACACAGAAGGGUUUACAAAUUAUAUUUGUAACACUUCAUUUAUAAUCACAUGUAUAGAUUCCUAAUAGAUGAAAAUGGGUGUAUUUGGUCGUUUCUAAUCUACCAUUUUAAAGAUAUAUUUUAGAUAAACUAAUUUAGGAAUUGCUUCAGAUGUAUUAAAUUACAAUUAUGGGUUAAGAAACUAAAUCAAUCUUAGUCUUCUUAGAUUAAUGAUGGUGUGAGUUUGAUUUGCGAUGAUGAUUAUUGCUUUUCCCUAAGCUACACAUACACAAAAAAAAAAAAACCCACUUUGUCAUGAAAACCCAAAUCGACGAUGAAGUUCAUCCCAUUUUUGGGUCUAUGAAAAUGAAGGAAACACUUACCAAGAGACUCACCACUCAUUGCAUAAAUGUCUAAAAUCCCGAAUUAACUUCUAGCCUUAAGCCUUCUGCUGCACCUUCACCUUCUUCAACCUUUCGAAACACUUUCCCUUCUCUCUUCUGUCGCUUCGUUCGGGUUUAGGAUUAAGGUUUGUGUUUACUUUUUUUU